Molecule: ribosomal RNA, 159 nt
Filed under: uncultured bacterium
Lineage: Bacteria
Description: partial 16S ribosomal RNA
Rfam family: Bacterial small subunit ribosomal RNA
Source: RNAcentral
UGAGGAAUAUUGGUCAAUGGCCGGAAGGCUGAACCAGCCAAGUCGCGUGAGGGAAUAAGGCCCUACGGGUCGUAAAACCUCUUUUGUCAGGGAGCAAGGCCGCCCACGUGUGGACGGAAGGAGAGUACCUGGAGAAAAAGCAUCGGCUAACUCCGUGCC